GGGGCGGAGAGGCGGCACGGGACGCGGCGGAGGCGGCGGCAGGCGGAGCCCGGGAGCGGGCGGGAGAGCCUUCACCUGAAUCUGAUGUAAAAUGCACUUUAAAAAGAAUACACAUCCAUGCUCGCUAUGAUAAGGCCUGCAUUCCCCAUCCACAGGGCUCCCUUAUCUUCAGACACAAGCUAAAACCCCAAGGAUUUUGCUAGGCUUCAUGAAAUAAAUACAUCAAAAAUGGAAGGACAGACUGGCAUUUAAGCAAUCUUCUUUCCUAAUCUAUUGGAAGUCCGCUUGGCUAGACUUGGCAUCAAGUCCCACAGAACAGAUUGAGCUGAAUAACCAGCUGCUGUAUAUUGAAGUUAACUGUAUCAGAGGAUGCUGCUUGGAAAUGGGAAGUUCAGAGGGCUGUGUAACAGCAACAGUGUGACAGAGACGUCUUGUAUAUAUUUGAACCUAGUGGUCAGCUAUUGCUUAAUGCCACCGCUUUCUGAUGCUGAAGCUCUGAUUUCAUCUUCUAAGGGCCUUAUGCAAUCAGCAGUGCAGAUUGAGGAAAUGGGAGGGUGAAUUUGGGAAGCGAAGUUGACAAGGAGUUGACAGAAGUCAACACGGUAUUGAUAAAGGAAAGUGAGGUGUUGCUGCUCCAGACAUGAAAGCUGUUGUCUCAGACCCACCAUCAUACUGUUGUUUCUGAUAACUGCUCAGCCAGAUGUUGCAGGCGUUCAAAAGAGGGAGAGUUUGACUUCCGGGAAGCAAUGAAACUGAUGGCAGUCACAAGCUAGGACAAGAUGAUUUGUCUGGAAGAGGUACUCAGUAUAUUCCCUGACUACACACUGAGGCAAGAAUGACCACCUUACACUUUGGCAUCUGAGUUUUAAACUCCUGGGCUGGAUGCCAACAAGUGGCCCUGAGUCUUGAUAUGCCCCAUGUCAAAACAAGACAUGCCAGACAAGAUAUCACCUGAGAUUUGCAAAACACUUCUGAUUCCUACAGUCCAGACACACCUUGAGAGAACUGUCUGUGCAGGUUGCUGAGGUAGCACAAGGGUCCAAAGCAGCAUGUGUGUCUGGACUGAACAGGAGCAGUCAAGGGCUGGGGAAAUCAAAAUUAUUUUAUGAUUAAUGUAUUGUAAUAGCAGAAAUUUCUUCAGUUCCUUUUAUCCACUUAGAUCAAGCUGUCUGGAAGCAUUUCAUGUCUUUUCUUGCAUCGCAUGAGGAAAAAGAUGAAAAGAAGAGAAGAAUGCUGUGCUCACUGGGUUGAACCCUUGUUCACGAUCUUGAACUCAGUAGGAUCUGAUGCAGAAGUUUGUUUGUUUGUCUGUUUGUUUGUUUUCUUUUAAAGUUUACAGGCUCUGGAACAUAGUGGAAGCUAUUCUUCUAAAUUCUCAGCAAAAGGCUGGGCUGAUGCCUGUUUCCAAGCUGUGCAAAUAUACAAGUUUACCGACAAUUAUCGUGGUUAAGUUCUUAAUGAAAGCUUAGUUCUUACUUGUCAGGAACAAAAAGACUUAGAUAUGUUUACAGAUCAGGCUGCUGGUGAUCUCCACUUUCCAUUUUGUCAUGUUUAAUAUGCAGUUUUGAUGUUUUGAAUUUUUACUUAGCAGGCUGAGAGCUGCACCAUAACACUUUUAAAAUUAGUUUUCAUAGCUUAAAUGUUAAUUGGAGUUUCUGUUGGGGAGGCUGAGAUUUAAAUGCUGCCAAUAUAGCUUUACAUGGAGCAAAGUAACAAUUAGGACAAUGUGAAAUAUGUCCUGGUGUUGCAUCAAAAUGAAAAUACGGAGUGCUACCAACCGUAGACUUGUGCAGGGCACCACAGAAGUGUGUUGUGUAGUAUCCGUGGAGUAAGGUUGUUACCUUGCAAGGCAGAAGACAAUUGAAUAAAACCCACAUCAACCCACGUUAGCUGUUUCUUCUUGGGAAACACUGGAUAUUGUUUUUCUUAGCCACACUUCAUGAAGCAAAUGUUAUGAUAAUUGUCAAGUGCUGUGAUACUUCUUCUUAUUUGGUAAAUCUUGUACAUGUGGAUGAGAUAUUAUUUUUCCAUGGGUAUGUUUAUACGAAUUGCAGCCAGUGCCUCUACCUAGAAAACUAUGUCAAUGUAAUGCAACGUUAUGUAAGUUUUGUUUAGGUUCUUAUAUGCUGCACGUCAUAGGGUUGAAUGUCUUCCAGAAAUGCAUUAAGUGGUGGGAUUGUCAUGUGCUGCAUAUGGUUUUCUCUCUCCUAUUCUUUACAAAGGUGGGUUUUGUGCUCUUUUUAUUUUCAGUAUCUUUAAAAAUAGUUGUUACACUAUCUGCACACAGUCCUGUAUGUAUUUGUGUGAUGCACAUUCACAGUAGAAGACAGUGAGCAUUGUGCUGGAGAUAAUCCCAGUGGGAACUCAUCCAAAAGUCUGAGACUGGCCCAAGAAAGCUCUGUUUUCUGCUGAGCUUUUCUUUGGAGAUGUAUAACCCCACUGCACCUACACAAUGAAUCUGCUGUCUGGUUUUCCUCAUUCUGUCAGUGACCUUUCACAUAAGCGUCAAGAGUCCCAAACUUCUGAAUGCCUUAGGAAUAAGGAUGCAACACUGAAAGUAACAUCACAGAUUAAAUACAGGUCUCAGACCUGCACCCAUAGAAUCACAGAAUGAUUGGGGUUGGAAGGGACCUCUGAAGAUCAUCUAGUCCAACCCACCUGCUAAAGCAUGUUCACCUGGAGCAGAUCGCACAGGAAUGUGUCCAGAUGGGUUUUGAAUGUCUCCAGAGAAGGAGACUUCACAACCUCUCUGGGCAGCCUGUUCCAGUGCUCUGGCAUCCUCAAAGUAAAGAAGUUUGUCCUCAUGUUUAGAUGAAACUUCCUGUGUUUCAGUCUGUGCCUGUUGCCUCUCAUCCUAUCGUUGGGCACCACUGAAAGGAGUCUGGUCCCAUCCUCUUGGCACCCACCCUUGAAAUAUUUAUAAACAUUGAUAAGAUCCCCUCUCAGCCUUCUCUAAGCUGAACAGACCCAGCUCUCUUAGUCUCUUCUCAUAAGAAAGGUGCUCUAGGCUCCUAAUCAUCCUCAUAGCCCGCUGCUGGACUCCUUCAAGUAAUUCCCCGUGCAGGAAUGGUUCUCACAACGGCUGUAUCUUGUCCUUGCACAUCUGCAGUGCUGAUAGUGCUGAUAGUGCUGAUUCUCUGUAAUAUGCAGUGGUGCAGGGGACGGCAGGACCCAGGGUAGGCUGCUCCCAGGAGGACCCCACGUUGGAAAGAGUGUUGCUGUGGGACAUUCCUCUUCUCCUUUCUUGCGUUCUUUCCAGCUUUUUUAGGCUGAAGUCUAACCCUAGGUCUCUAAUUCAACUGUUAAAGCUGAGGCAGCGGCCAACGUAUCACACGAGUGAUUAUUAGAGCAGUGCAAGCCCUUUUGACCAAGUAUUACUGCUGUGUAGUUUUUUGUCUUUGGUGUUUUUUCCCAGAUGGAUAUUACUUUUGAACUGAAAUGUCUCGUAGGAGCUGAGCUGUCUGGAAAACAUAUUGAUCAAAUUCCAACACAGUUUUUCCAAGUGUGUUUCUUUUGCUAGCUACUUCCUGAUGCUGUUUAUCCAAAACACCACCUGCUGUUGAGGGCAAAGUUGGCCAUCUGAAACUUCUCUGUGUCCGUGAAGCAGCUGUACCUAUUAGGCUUAAUUUCUUCAGUGAUUUACCAAGUGUAUGUAUUUUAAAACCCACUCUUCUUCUCUGCACUCCUACCACCACCAGUCAUCUCAUGUCAUCUGCAAGCAGUGAUGGAAUUAGGUUGCCAAGAACCUAGAAGGUUUGCUUUCCUUAUACCAAAUUUAACAUAAUAUAUGUAUGGCUUAUGCAAGAAGAAGGACAGGUUUUUUUCCUGUUUUCCUGUCAUAUCAGGUAACUUUGGAAUCUGCUCUCUUCACGAAUAGCAACAUUAACUAUUAAUUUCAGUUCAUAUGAAGAAGAAGGAAAAAAGAUAAAUGAAGACUAAACUUGGGAAGAGUGCAGUAGGAAGAUGCAAAUAAAUAUUUAAAAAUUCCUAGAGAGUCUGAACUUGGGACUGGUAUGCAAGAAAACACAGAAGAGUUACAUGUGGCAUGGAUGCCCAAGAAGUCUGAAUCAAAGUGAAACUGAGAAUAUAGUGUUGCAUUAUAGUGGUCUGUGCUGUAUUUGGAUCAAGCAAAGAGGGAAGGAAAGAAAAACUGAGCUAUUUGAAAGUACAAGAAAGUACAAGUCGACUCCAGCAUCAUAAUAAUGCCUGAAAUAAUGAUUUUUCUUUUUUGUUCAGGAGAUCCUCAGGUACUGUGGAAUAAUGGAAGAGGGUCAAUAGUGGAUUUGAACAUGAGCUGCCAGAAAGCUGAAUGAAUGGUGUGACUGUCACGUCCGCUGAAUGUUCUGGAGCUUUCCUGACAAGGUUUUAAUUUUCUGCCAGUGCAGGCUGGUUUUAUUUUGAUUUUUUUUUUUUUUUUUUUGAGACAUUUGAACAUUUUUAGCCUCUGAUCUGUAUCAGCAACUGAAGGGAUCUGUGAGGACUAAUGUAACUAUUUGUUCCAAACAAGCUACAUAGCUCUUUUUUGCUCCUUUUGGCAAAUAUCCAUGGACACGUUUAAGUUUUAGAAAGCCUUGAAGUAAUCAUUACAGCUGUAUUUGAUCAAUGGAUUGCAUUGACUGCUCACCAUCUGCAAGUGAUGAGAUCUUUUCAGUACAGACAGCCCAAUCAUUGUAAGGUUAACAGUUUGACCCUUCAAAGAAUCCUUAAAAAGCAAGAGACUGGGAAAGUUAGGGGACAGUAUUUUUAAGUUGUAUAAGUCAUAUUGUUACUGUCUUUUGAUCAAAUACACCCCCCUUUAUAAACUAUUUUUUCUCCUUCCAUCCUCUCCAUGUUCCUAUAUCUUGCCAACCAAGUUUGUGAAACUGCUUUUUGCAGAAUUCUUUUAGAACAGAGUAUUGGGUCUUGGAACAUUUCCGAAUAACUCAUAAUGGAGGGCUUAAGUAUUUAAGCCAGUGAGGGUGUUUCAAGAAGGUUUUUGCGUUAUUUGAACACCUCCGAGACUUGCUUACCUGGCUCCCCUGCAACAAAACACUCAAUUUUUAAUAUUUUCUGUGGUUACCACUAGAUAUUACAUCUGGUGCCAAAGUCUGUGACACAUGAUUAGGUCCGUGAAAAUCUCCAAUCCUCACUUGAAUAAACACUUAACAAAAAUAUACAUUGCAUACUUGGCAGCGAAGAGAUGCUGCAGUUAGAUGACAGAGCCACCCUAUGAAAAGGGACACAUCUUAUUAAAAUAAAUACAAAUAAAACAAGAACAUAUCAAGAAUAGUGGCCUGUGUAUUUCAAAGGCAACAAGGUAUGCCAAGAAAAACAUUGUAGUCAUGCUUCCAGCUUAAAACAACAUUUGAAAAGUAUUUUAAAAAGCUUUCUACUUCAGUUUCAGUUUGGUGCCACUGUGAAUUUGCAGGCUUACAGGACUUUUUUUUUUUUUUUUAAUAUAGACACCAUAUAGUAAAUACAGAAUUAAGAAAAAACAUUCAUAAUAUUAGAACCCAUUUGUUAUUCUGUCUGAAAAGACAAAAAAACCCCAAAUAGGAUGUCCUGGAAGCGAGAGAAAGAAGAAUGUCCUAAAAAAUAGCUUCAAAACCCAGAAUAUCUGCACUGGAUGCAUUUAUAAGCAUUAACAGAUAAUAUAUUUAUCAAACUGGUAUUGGUUGAAAACCUACAAAACAAAUUAGUCUUUUUUGCAAUAGCAAUAGCUGAACUGGUGAUGAAAACCCUUGUUUUAGCUACCUGAGGUCAGGCUUAACAGUCUCAGCUGCAGUGGAACACACAAUGUCUCUUUAACAAUAUUAUACAGCAGCUUCUGCUGGCUGCAUACUACAUAAAAUCCAUUUUGCUGAAUAUUGUUCCUUGGAGCAAUUGUUAGCAGAAUAGGAAUGGCACAAGCUUGGGGAAAAAAACAAACCAAACCAACAAGCAGCCCCCCCUCCCCCAAACAAACAAAACCCCCAAAACCAAAUCAAAAGAAAUGUUUUUUUCAGACCACAUUGUUAUGGAAAAAUAACAAUGAAAACCACAUGAACGGUAAGGGAAAGGACAUGUAGAGUAAAAGGGACAGCAGGAAUGCUGUCUGGCUUCAGGUGACGUCUGGCAAUAGGUGGCAUCCAGAAAACGUUGCUGAUUUGGACAGGAAUGAACUACAAACCAGCCAAACUGAGUGCUCAGAAGGAAAUGCCAAGACUUGUGUUUUGGAUCAGUCCUGUGUUUCCAUCUCUCCCCGCUCUAAAGAGCGCAGCAGCCUCAGUGCCACUGUGUGGUUGCCGGCUCAGGCCAUGACCUGAACAUCUGCUUUGCUUUGCUGGGUUUUGGUGUUCCCACCACCAAGGGGGUGUAUGGAACUCUAGAAAGUGAAUCUGUACAAACGAAAGCAGUAACCUAACCCAGCUGUAAAGCAGGAGGGGAGGGAGGGACGCUGCACUACUGUUGCUCCUGUGCAAUGGGAUAUCCACGCUAGCCCUCUUGACUUCUCCAGUUUUCUUCUUUCCCCUUUGGCUGCAUUUGUCUUGUGGCUGCACAUUUUGUUUCUUUAGCUGCCUCUGUGUGAUAGUUCAAGCUACAAAACUGGACAUUAUUCUAUGCAGGUGGUUCUGUAUACUUCCAAAGACUGCGUUUUAGACUGUGACAUUUGUGAUAGCCUGGGAGACAUGGGUUAGAGCAGUGUGUUCAGCCUCAGGAGAGCAGGAAGCCCAUGAGACUGCAGACCAGCUUCAGCAGAAUGACGCUUGUCACAUCUCCACCGGUGUUUUUCGAUGUGCUUAUAUAAGACAACCAAACCAAAGCUUUGGAAGGGGACAGAAAAUGGAAUUUCUGUAAAUUCUAUAACUAAAAUAAUAGAAUCAUAGAACCAUUUUGGUUGGAAGAGACCCUCAAGAUCAUUGAGUGCAACCAUAACCUAACUCUAGCACUAAACCACGUCCCUAAGAACCUCAUCUGUAUGUCUUUUAAAUACCUCAAGAGAUGGUGAUUCAACCACUUCCCGGGCAGCCUGUCCCAGUGCUUCACAACCCUUUCUGUGAAGAAUUUUUUCCUAAUAUCCAAUCUGAAGCUUCCCUGGUGUAACCUGAGGCCAUUUCCUCUUGUCCUAUUACUUGCUACUAGGGAGAAGAGACCAGCUUUCUGAAAAAUAAUGACAUGGCACUUUGUCUUCCUUUCUCUGGAAAGUGUCUGAAGUUUCUUAAGCUUCCUGAUGGGUGGCGGUGAAAGCCCAAGAUCCUGUAGGCUGCUAUGUCAGGGAAAAAUGUAACUACCCUUUAAAGAUAUAUUUCUCCCUGCCUCUCAUAUUACUAGGCUGUUUUCUGCACUGAGUAUUUAUAAGUUAGGUUGGUCUUCAGAAAACAAAAAAAGCCAAACCACCCCAAAGAAAAACAGCUAAGGUAAUUUAAAAACCUCUUAUUUGACAAAUAAUGUGUUAAUAAUAGAAAGAGUGUCAGAUUAAUGUAGUAUCGGAUAGGGGAGAGAAGGCACAUUUCCCAGCAUUAGAUACUUAAGUCGGGCAUUGAUGAUAUCUUAGCCAGCCCAGCUGUUGGAUCCCAUGGCCUCAGUCACCACACCAGCCAGCCAGGCUGCUCAGGCUUCCUCUGUAGGUACCAGUGAGUGAGACCCCUGGACAAGGCAACUGAAAACACCUGAGCUAAGAGAGCCGUGAUCAGCCCAUGAGGGAACCUCUUCCUCUCUGCUGGAUAUUGUGAGAAUUGCUUGCUUGCAAAGUGCCUAACAUUGGGUGAGGCCAAUUAUCCUUACUAUAUAAAUUUUUAAACAACUAAUAAAUUGCUUCAAGUCUUCUAUGAAAUGUCAUGGAGACACUUUCUGUUGGUUUCAUUUCCCAGGAGUAUAUUUUUAUGACUUUCAUUCUCCUAAAUUGUCCUUACCUAGUUUUCACGUCCCAUUUCUUGCACUGUUAUGCUAUGAUCAACAAAACUUCAUAAUUUGGCCUUAUCAUAGGUGAACCAAAACUGAUUUAGAGUGGGAAACAGUGCUUACUAAAUUUAAACAUCAAGGCAGACUGUUAUUUACAUGCAAGACAGCUUUAUUGUUAUCAUCAUUUAUUUAUUGCACUUCUAGUGUAUGGGUAGCUUUGCAGCACAUAUUGCUAGGUGUGCUUUCUGCCCUGUGAAUACCGAUAUUUUGGAAUUCUCCUGAGAAUGAAAGGCAGGUUCAUCUACUCUUGAAGCUUGACAGACAAUAUUCUUAUUGAUCUUUUUAAAAUGAGAAGACAAAAUCUAAUCACCGUUCUUUCUGGGCAUCUGGAAAAAUGUGUAUAGCAGACACGAGCAGUUGCAAUUCUCUUCCUCUGUUAAUCACACUGGGUAGGAAUAUUUACAGGUUUUAUGAUCUGAUUGCCUUCUUCACACAACGUAAUUCACCAUCACGGCUGGGGAUAAAUACUGCAGGGAAGGUACCAUGUAAGGUAAAGUACACAUUCUUCUUCAAGAUGGUGCAUUUAUCUGUUUAAUAAACCUGGUUCACAGCUUUCCAUAGCUAUAGCCAACCAUUAACAGUGUAAUUUAUGUCAGCCCAUAGAGGCCUGGUAGCAGAGCAAUUAGGACACUUGGCCACAGAGCCAGAGUCACGAGCAUGGGCUUUGCUCCAUGUGUGCUACAGUGCUUCCCAAAGGAUCCCAAUUUAAGUGAUGGCUUACUCACUCCGUCUGGCAAGUGGGAGGUGGGCAGGGGAGAUGCCAACGGGCCCAUCCUUGCCGUUUUUUGCAGAAGUGGGCAUGCUUUUAACAGUAUUCAUCCAGGUCUCACCCCAAGACUCGGUUGGGUGGUGGAUGUGCUGUAGAUGCUUGUCACUGCCCUCUUAUGGACAGAGACAGCAGUGAUGGGCAGUAAACUCAGGUCCUCACAGCAAGGUGGACGGUGUGCUUCAGAUUUAGAAAGUCUCCAUGCAUCAAAUGGUGGCAGCCUUAGCUUUCACAGCAGUGAGAUGUAAAAGCAAUAUGUGCUGUUGCUCUGUCAUUUUGGAAAGCAGACAAGCACCCAAAUCACACCCUCGCUACACAUUUGUUAUAACACAAUGGUUGUAUUUGGGAAAAACACUAAUCCAAAGCUAACAGCAACACUUAAUGUGCCCCAGGAUAUUCUGCUGGGCCUCAUUGGAUGCAAGGGCAUCGAGGCGACAAAUAACAUCUUUACUAUGUCCUGCUGCACAGAUCCAAAGCUUUGUCUUGUUGAGGAUGGCCACCCGGUACCCCUUAUCCAAAUGCAUAACCUGUCCUUGAAACAUGUUAUGAAAGCAAAAUAGAUUAGGAAAAUGGUAUUAUUUGCAAGCAAACCAAAUAACAGUGUCAAAUCUGGUGGGCUAACAGUGUGCAGUCAAUUGAAACCAAGACUAAAUAACUUCUGUGUUAAGGGAGAGAGAGAGUGUAUUCUUCUUAGCUGGCAGUAAACUUUCCUGCCAAUAUUUUUUUGGCUGUUACAGUUUCAGUUUCUUUAAAAAACAAACAAACAAAAAACCAAAAAACACCUCCCCCCCCCCCCCCCCAAACUGUAAUAUCAAGCUCCAUCUCCAUUGUACUGUUUAUGAUGCCUUUGUCAAUCCCUUGGAUUCUCUUGGAGCUCUGGUGUCUCUGCUGGAUCAGGCCUUGAUCACCCCUUGCUGCUGCUUUUCUCUGUACCCGUGCACUGCUACCUCAGGUGCCUGUCACUCCAGGGCAGUUACAUGCUGUAGUUCCAGUUUGGGAAAUUACUGAUGCUGAAGAGGGGAGAUCCUGCUGCUGUUCCCUGCUCUGUUCCUCCCUCUUCAGGCUUCAUAGUUCUGGUUGUCCUCUGCACUGUCUCCAGGACUCACCAACUGUACAGUGACCUGACUCAACUUGGCAGCACUAAAAUAAGCCCAAAACAAGAAGUACAGCUUUUUGUUGCUUAGUACAUUGAACUGGCUUAAUUAUACAGACAGAGCAUCAGAGAGAAGGUAAGGCUGUGUGGUUGGGAAGGAAGGCAAGGAAGAGUGAGAAGGAAAGUGCAGGAGCAGGACCAUUGCACCCUAAGGCAACCAGCUGUUAAAUCUCCUCCGCUACACAUCUAGCUAUAUUCAUAGCAUCUCAGCACCUCUUUCUUUCUCUCUAGGCUUCCUUAUGCCAUGUCCAUGGAGUAACAGUGGUAUGCUAAUGCCAUUUUAUGGGAGAAGGCACAGACAAUCAGUAGAUCUCCUGGUGCUACGCAGAUCAGCUGAGGCAUGGCAAGGAAUUGGAGUCAGGUGUCACAAACCAGAGAUCUGGAAACCUCCAUUCAGAAGAACCAGCGGAUGACAUGUUUUCCACUAAAGCAUUUGUCAGAUGUGGUGGAGUCCACAGGAAGCCUUUCAAAACACAAGAGGACUGUGUAGCCAGUGCGGUGUUAUGGCAUUAUGACCAAGAAGCUAUUUUCACUUUGAAGCAACAGCAGACAUUUCCUCUGAGAUAUAAAUAGGUGCAAUUUUUCUUUGACUUAUAUGAAAAAGUUGGCUACUCUACAUCUGGAAGGAGAUAUGUAUAUGGUUAGGUGGGACUCUGGGGGUUUCCAGCAGAGGCUCUUCUUCACCUGUGUAAAAAGGUGACCAGUGUCUUGCUAUUUGUGCAUUCCCAGGAGAUGGGAUUUUCUCUUGAGGAAACCAUUCUCUGGGUCUUGUCACGGGGUGCAGCUUGUCUGCUCUGCCUUGCACCCUUCCAGCAUUUUAAUCUGAAUUAUUCAGGGCAUCUGGAGGUAAAAGGAAAGCCCCUGAGCAAGUGCUUUGUGAUGAUCAGGUGCUCACUUCCCCUGGUGGCCAUAACAUCAGCAGAGAAGAAUCAGCAAAGGUGUCAGUGAGGCCCACAUUUGCAGACUUCCCAAUUUACACAUCUGUAGAUUACUCAAACAGGAUAAUGCGUUUAAAGAAAAGAUUAUCUUGCUGGGUCUUGUUUGACAAAUAUCAGCCUGAAGCAAGUUUUUAUAGCCAAAAUACAAUGGCCUGAUAGCAAUGUUUAUAAUAGAAAUUCUGCCAGCUAUUUGAUGCCAGCAACAAACACAGUGGCCACUUAGUCACUGGAAGACUUUGUUGUCAAAACGACUUGUUUCUUUUGCAGAUGGAAAUAUGUUUGAGAAAUAUUGUUUGGUGCUUCUAAGAGUAAAGGCUCCAUGCUGGUUCGUGGUUAGCCAAGCCCACAGGCGCUGCCUGCAAACCUCCCCAUGUGGUGCUGCCAGGAACAAUAAGGGCUGGUGGGUCGGCAGAACUUUCCAUCAUCAGGCUGGUUGGCAGAGGAGGUGGGAUCCGCUCCUCACACCCCGCUGUGGCUGCAGAGCUGCUGUGGCAGCUCUCCCGUGGCACGGAGAGGGAAGGGUCGUGCCCGUAUGAGGGACAUGUGCUGCAUGUCAGUCACACAUGGCUUGGAGAAAAAGCAGCGUGUGCCCUAAGUCAGGAAACACAGAACAUCCCAGCUCGGGCACUCAUCACUUACCAGGGCUACCACAUCAUGGCUGCCUGCAGAUAGGACUCUUCUAUCAGGUUAAAUAGACAAGGAUCUCUUUAUUAGGGUAUUUUUGAUGGGAAACAUUCCCAUGAGGCACCAGGGCACUGUGGCUUCCGAAACUCUUUCGACUACCCUGUGUGUCACGGGGGGGUGGAUUUUGUUCAGCUCAAGGCAAAUGCUUUUUGAUCUUCAUGUGAUUUCCCAGACUUGGAGCACUCUUGAGUAAAGAACACCAAAUACAGAAUCAUUUUGAUUGGAAGAGACCCUCAGGAUCAUCGAGUCCAACCAUAACCUAACUCUAGCACUAAACCAUGUCCCUAAGAACCUCGUCUAAACGGCUUUUAAACACCUCCAGGGAUGGUGACUCCACACUUCCCUGGGCAGCCUGUUCCAGUGCCUGACAACCCUUUCCAUGAAGAAUUUUUUCCUACUAUCCAAUCUAAACCUCCCCUGACACAACUUGAGGCCAUUUCCUCUUGUCCUAUCACUUGCUACUUGGGAGAACAGACCAACACCAAAAUCAUAUAGUAUUUCUACAGUAGUGUUACUGAAUAGCAUUCAGUGCCCUUGUGCCAAAAAAGUUAUUACUCAGCAAGCUUGUGACAGGGGACUUUGCCCUCGUGGAACUGCAGGAUAACCUUUCUGCAGAUACGCCCUUGGGAGAUACUCGGAAACGAUGGUCUCACGUGUUGGUAUGGGCAAAAACUAACUAGAAUUUGGAUAAAAAGGAGAAUGUAUUUGCUGAGCCAUUCUCGGUAGCACAAUAGCUCAUACAGUAAUGCAUUUGUUGUCAUUGGCCUGGUUUCAGUAGCAGAGUAUGUUCAGCUCAUACUCAAUCAUAUAAAAAAACCAUGAAAAUGACACUGUCAUCCAAGACCACUGAGCUUCAGCUUACAUGGUACAUCACCUGCUUUCAGUUGGGAUCAAUUUGAAGAAAAUUAUUGCCAGUUGCAUUUCGUUAUUUCACCAAAAAGAGGGCUGCAUUUUUGUUUUCCAGAAAGUUGCUGAAUCACAUCACUGUGCAGAAUACAUUCCUCAAAUGGCCUCUCUCUAAUGAUGCAAGACAAAAAAAUGAAAAGAAAAAGGCAAACCUGUAUCAAAAGAUGAAACACGUUAUAUGGGUUAGCUGAGGAAAAGUAAUAUUAUCUUUUUUUAAUGCCUCAUGCUGCAGUGCCUGGGAAUUGAAGGGCAUAGAGUGUUCCUUUCCUCUUUUACUGCUGCGUGAUCUGUACUUAACUAUUUAUGUUGCAAUCCUAAGACCUGCUCUCGCUCCCCAGGAGACAAACACUGAAGUAUUAUUAGACCUUAGUGCGUGGGGGGAAGAGCUCUUAGUAUAAUUUUAAUGUAUAAAUAUUGUAUGCUUUAUGCCAGUCCUUAGAUUUUCACAGGAAUCUAAGUUAGCUGGUGCACACUCUGGUGGCCAGUCUUUCUACAAAGAGAAUUUGCAGGUACAACAUGGUAAAUAAUGCUUGUGUAUUUACCAUGUAUUGCACACCACUUUAUCAUUUGUAAUUGUUAUUUUUAUGUUGAGAACACAUAUACUACUCAGUCAAGCAUCUUAACAAAGGUCAUUGCUCCUAAACAGGUAUUUUUCAGUUGCUAGUCUUUUGAUCUCAAUGGCUGAAUCUGACUUUGUUUGAUAAGAUCCAGUUUCUGCUAAACGUUUUUUGGUCACAUCUGCCUAUUUGUUUCAAAAAGUAAAAGAAUAAGAAAAAAUAAUGUUCUCUGUUUUGUUGGACUAUAAUAAACAUGGUAAGGCAAAGCAGGGUCUUGGUACAGAUUUGUGUCACACUCAGCAAAUGCAGUUCUGACUAGGCCGGGCUUCUGGGCUUUACAGUCAUACAGGUAACUGCCAGCUUUCUGGACCUACAAUACAGCUAUACAUGAGUUACAGAUUUCUAGAAAUUUUUGUGCAUGCAUAUGUAAAUUACAGUAAACAUAAUGUUCAAUUCAGGUAUAUAGCCUCUACUGACAAUAACUAACUCUUUGAUAUUUCUGUAUAUUGUUUUUUGAAGGCAGUUUUAGUAUUGAUUAUGCUUAAUACUGCUUCUCUUAUGUUGUCUGUGACAUACAGUUAUGCAUUUUCUAGUUAUUCUUUUUGUUCAACAGAAAACGCCAGGCUUUUCUUGUUGCAUUCUUCCCUUACUCAUAGGCAGCACUCUAUUCGGCUGUGGGUUUUGGAAGACGAAAUUCAAUUUCUAAUCCAGCAAAUCUCCAUCCUGCAAUGUGCUGCAGUGCCAGGAUACCACAGUGACCGCAGGAGAGGGAAAACACUGAAAGGUUCUUGACCCUUUGCGAGGCUCAGGUGUGAACCUGAAGAAGACAGAAAGAGGAGAAGAUGGUGGAUGUGGACCUGCAGCCCUCCUACCCAUGCCCAGGCUGCUGCUGCUCCCCCUGCUUGCAGGGGUCCUCACUUAAGGUUGGAAAUGCCUGUCACUCAGGAAAAGAAGGUGACCUGCUCCCUCUAUAGGCUUUCGUGGUUGUUGCUUUUAUGAACCAGCCAUCCAGGGGAUCAGAGCUGCAGUCAGGCUUUGAAGGCUGGCAAACUCCAAACUGAGACAUAUUUUGAAUUUCUUUUAUAUUUACAGAUUAUUUUUGUGUGUGUAUCUGUGUGACUAUGUAUAUGUGUGUGUAUGCAUGUAUGUGUAUAUAUAUACACAUUCUCUAACACCUAUGGAUAGAGAUAGGUUUUUUUUGUGCCAAACUCACAUUGGAGCAAUUUUUAUUCUUUAGUCUUAGUCUUUUUUAAACCAAUGCAUGAUACUUUUGUGUGUCAACUUUCUGUUUGUUAACGGUUUGUGAUAGUGCCUUUCUGACUGUCCUACCCUUAUAAAGCAGAAGAGACACCCUCUGAACAGGCAGUUCCACGAACCCAAGCACAAUUCCUCCCUAGUGCCCUCCCAGCACUGCGGUGUCUGGCGUCAUUGUUAUGACAGGACAAGGGGUGAUGGUUUUAAACUAAAAGAGGGGAGAUUCAGGCUGGACAUGAGGAAGAAUUUUUUUACACUGAGGGUGGUGAAACACUGGCACAGGUUGCCCAGAGAGGUGGUAGAUGUCCCAUCCCUGGAAACAUUCAGGGCCAGGCUGGAUGGGGCUCUGAGCAACCUGGUCCAGUUAAAGAUGUCCCUGCUCAUUGCAGGGGAGUUGGACCAGAUGACAUUUAAAGGUCCCUUCCAACCCAAACCAUUCUAAGAUUCUAAUGAUUAUGGUAAGAAAAGCAACCUGUAUUAAGAACAACCCUGUGAAUAAAAAAGGUGAUUUGUAACUUGGAUCAGCUCAGUGAUUUGCUUUCCAGCACAGCCCCAACAACAGUUGCAGAGCAGCACGAGUGUGAAAAAGCAGCCGGAGGCGAGGUGUGGAUGGGAGGCAGAUGCUCCCAAGCUGCCUCACAGCUGAAGUCCCCUUUGGUGAAACUGCAGCUGCUAGCAUACCUUUGCUCUGGCACAGGUAUCAGAGGGAAUUCCCCUGCAGUGCCUGAAAUAACACUUAAAGGAAGAACUGUCACAUCUGUGAGUUAUAUAUUAACUGCUAUACAUGACCUUUCAGAGAGUGGCAGAGUAACAAUUUCACUGAUAAAGAAAAACGGCAGGUUUUCCAUUAUGCAGGGCCCAGUUAUUAACUCCUAGGAAAAGACUUCCCAGCUCUUUACAUUAAAUUAUACCAUUUUCAGUUCUUCCAUACUUUCUUAAAUGUGAAAAAAUUGUUAAGAUGUCUUCAAUACUAAAUAAAUGCCUCUGGCUGUUUCUUGUGGGGAGUGAGGGGGAGAAGGCAGGAAAAGUUUUAGCUAAAAUGUUGAAGCCAUUUCCAAGGAAGUAUCAGAAGAACAAAACACAAGCUUGCUUGAGUUACAGAAAAAAAUAAUCUUAGCAGUCAUUCAGCACUGUGCUCACUUUUCCUUCCCAAGGUCUGACCUUGCUUUGUGCUCAGCAUUAUCAGAGAUCUGCUGCAAUGAAGUUUGUGUCCAUGUGUCACUUAGGACACAAAUGAAAUGCUUUAACUUAAGCUUAAAAGCAAAACCUUGCCAGAGAUGACAAAAAUGAGUGCUAGAUAUGUCUGGUUAAAUGACUAAUGAUUUAUUUGUCUUUGAAGCCUCUGGUGAAAGUUGAGAAGCAUAAUGGUGAAAGAAAAAAAUGUAAGUUACAUAACACUUCACAUGUGGAAUGGAUAAUGCUCUGUUUUUAUGCAGAAAAAAAGAUGUUCUUAAAUGGUUAUAUACAUAGAAAUAAUUAGGAUGAUUUCAUUUGGUGUCCAAUGUCUGCUGUGCAUAUAUUCAGGAGAUUGAAACUUUUUGACUGAAGAUGAGAUUUUCAGAAAAGAUCCUUCUUUUGGUCAGUAUAUUCCACUAUUUAAUGAAAAGAAACCUUGGCCAUAUUCCAAUUCAGUUGUUUGUAUUUAAAGAGAAUUUUAAAACCACAAGAAUUAUCCUUGUUUUAGACCUAAUUAUAAUAUUUUUGAAUUGCAAAAAAAUACCCCAUUUUUUCUUUUUUCAAGGAACUUCUUACUUCAGUAGUAAUAUAUUUGUUUCAAAUAGUAUGUUUGGAUUUUAUUGUAUGGAUUUUAUGUAGUCAGUGCUUUAAGCAUCCUAACAUAAUUACUAACAUAAAUCAAAAUCCCUAUGGUCUUUCUAUCAGGAGCCCAGCUAGACAAGCACCUACAGAGACUCUUUUCCACUCCCUCGUUAUGGGAAACAUACUCUGCAAGGUGAAAUAAGCAGGGGUUCAGGUACCAAAAGGCCAGUAAUAAUUACCAAACACCACAGGAGAUUUGAGGGCAGGCCACGUUGAGGGUAUGACAUUACUCAAAUACAUUUUUGGGGAGAGAAGGAGUGACCAGGGUUGCUUAUCCAGCCCUUAGAGCUGCUACUGCUUCACGUGGGUCAGGGCUGUCCUGGGAUGUGAAGGCCGCGUCUCCUUUCAUCCCACCCAGCCCUCUUCAUGAAAAGAGAGGCAUGAGCAAGGGAGAAUAUUAAUCAUUUUGAGUAAAUAGCUGGUGCUGUGGCAGUGAAGGAGAUAACCUGUGACAGAGGAGAGGUGAAAGGCAAAAAGAAGUAGCCAGGAUUAGGUCAAAAGAAAGACUAAGCAAAAGCAGAGAGAGAAAUGCUGAGUCAAAGGCUUAGCCCAGAGAUGAGUGAUACAGAGUUUCUAUGGAAUUGGUAGAAUCCAGGAUUUAAGUGUGCAUAGGAAUAGUGUGGUAGUUAUGUUUGGAUAUAAGGGCAUACUAUGAACACUUGCAUUGCAGAUAUUAAACGUCUUUAGGCUGAUGCCAGAAGUCUGUCACAUAUGUCAAUCUUGGAGCUGCUGCCAGUUUUCCAAGUACAGCGUGUCCAAAUGAUUAUUACGUCAGACUGCAGUUAGAAGCAUGGAAAAUCAGUUGCACCAGGCCCUUCUGGCAGCUCAGGCUCCAUUCUCAGAGGGAAAGGACAGAAAACAUUCCUUCCAAGACUGGUUCAACAUAGGAUUAGGAUCCACUUGCAUGCUGCUCAGAUGCAAUCCCAUGUGUGUCUUUAGGCAGGCAUGGGCGUCUAUGUGAGACCUCAGAGUGGAGCCCUUGCAUUGUGCAGCCAGAGGAUUCACCCUGGUUCUCACACUCAGCAGGACCCACUGCUGUGGCCUCACACACCUGUGUGACAGGGUAGACUGGAAUAUUGAUUUCAAUGCCUCACUGAGGUCAGCAGUAGAAUUCCCACUGUCUGCAAGGGAGCCAAGAGUCCAGCCUUCAGUCUUCAAUACCUGACACCUAUUGGGAGAUUUCUUUGAAUGCCUUGACAUGAAACACUGAAUGCGUGCUCAUUUCUUUUUCUGCCUUGGACCAGGCUAUAAAAUGGAUGUCCUACACAAACUGGCUGUGGACAUCAUGUUGCUGGGCAGCUGAAAGAUGAUGUAGCAGCAGAUGACUCUCAUCUCCUUUGUAAAGACAAAUGACAUUUUUAACCUUUUAUUUUUGCAAUUACGAUGUCAGGGUCUGUGAUUACGUUAACACAGGCUUAAAAAGGGAAGAUUUCUAUACAAAUCAGAAUUGUUCAAUUGCCUAUCAAAAAAGGCUUUAAUAUUCACUAUGGGAAAUCUUCUAUUGGAUCAGAAAUGUCUAAUAUGAAUAUGCCAACUUCAAACACUAAACCUGAUUUUCCAUUUCUUGCUCAUCCAAAUCACCUUGUAAACUCAUCAAGUGAUUUUGGUGCACCAAAGACAUAUUGUAGCCAAGUAGUGAAACCAGUACUGAGACAUUUUGCAGAUUGCAUGGUUUUAAUUUGUUUUGUAACCUUUAAUCUUAAAAAGCUUUUUUUUUUUUUUUUUUUUUUUUUAGAAUAUGCUUUUUCUUGCUUAUUUGGUUCAAAAAAUAUUGAAAAAUAUUGACACAGAGAUGGCCCAUGCUAUACACUUCUACAAUAUAUGGUAUUCAGAUUUGGAGGAGCCAUUUCAGUAUAAUUAUAAUGUCAAGCUAGAAAUAAGGAGUGAGCACUUAUUUUCUGAGCAUAUGUAUCACCAGCAUUGCUCUUACCAUCAUAGCUAACAACUGUUUAAGAAAAGACAGACAGAGAGGCCAAGCUACGGUUACAUGCCUUGGUAAAUCCGGCUUCAGAGAACUUAAUGGUGGAUCAGAAAAGUUAUCAGUACAAACAGUAAAAUUGCAGGUCUGGUACAAACUUACCCUAUCUAAUAAAAUCUGUUAGCAUUGUUUUAAAGCAAUAACUUUUUUUUGGUCAGCUUUAUAACUGAUUUUUUUUUUUGGCCUGGAAUCAACUUACAGACAACAGAAAGUAUAAAACUGCUUUCACUAUAUCCAGCACUCUUGUUAGUUCAGAAGAAAGAGAAAUACAGUGGUGCACAUGUAUUUGAUCCAGAUUAAAAUUGUAUUGUCAGUUGACCCAAUAAUGCAUGUUGCUGGCAUUAAUGAAAGGGAAGCCUUACCUGUUGAAGAGUUGAUUCUUGAGAACCAUGUAAUCCUGUAGCAUUUCAUCAUCCCACAGGAAAUGCAUUUGUUACUUUUGCCAUCACUGAUUCCCAGUGCCUGUUUGCCCUAGGCUUUUGUAUAAACACGUUAUUUUCCAUUUAUAAAUUGGCUUUUUUUUUUUGUUUGCAAAUUUUAUACAGUGUUUUAUGAAAUUACAAAUCUUACCUGCUCUAUACCAGAAAAGGAAGAUAAUGAAUUAAAGGUCCCAUUCAUUCUUUUAGUGUGAACAUUUUAACUUAAAAAAAAAAAAAAGCUUAACCAAGAGAGAUUUGUAAUCCUUCUUUGAUAAUUCCCAAGAUUCUUCCUCAUGUCUAAGUCAUUACUACAAUUGCUACACAGACAGGUUUGGCUAGUACUGCAAGAAAAUCAAGGGCUGGCCAGCAGGGCAUUUAGCAGUGUAAUACUCUACAGCUUAAAAAUAGCAUUUUGGAUCCUAGAUUCAGCAGAUUUCUAACACAGAAAUACAAGUCUGGAAGACUUCGAGAGGUUAAGUUUAUACCAUUAAGCAUUGUGUGAUUACUGUAAAGCUACAGGACUACUUUUUACUGUUUCAAGAAACCUUGUCAACCUCAUUUUAUAGUUAAAAUUUGUUCUCUUUAUUUAGAAGCCUCUAUUCUGACCAUUUAUAUAUAUUUAAGUCAAUUGCUGAUGCAAUGCAAGUAUAUGACUCCCAACAAAGCCAAUAUUUAUUGCAGCUGCUUACAUACAAAGCCAUGAACUAAGAGGGCAUUCGUUUUCAGAGAGAGAGGGCAGUGUUUGAAUCAGUGCUGUACAGACAUUCAUUUAUAUAUAUAUAUAUAUAUAUAUAUGUAUUUUUUUAAAGCUCGUUUUUACAUUUGCUUAGAUUUGUGUUUGAAAAAACUCACAGACCUCCAGUUUUCUUUUAAUUUUUCAGAAGGCUGAUCAAAACAAUGCUCAUAACUUUAUUAUCACUAAAUCUUCAUGAUAUUGAAAAUCCAUCUUAUGUUUCAGCUGUAACUGAGAGAGUCCUAAUAAGAUUAAUUUAAAUGAUCAGUACGACUGGCAUCCCCUACAACCUGCAUAAUUAGGAGCUCCCCUGCUUAUUUCAUUUGGCAUUGUAAUCGUUUUGCUGAAAAAUCUUUGAAAUAGCCUCAGACGUGCUUAGACUGAUGGAGGUGAAGACGUUUCUGUCUAAGACCCAAAGAAAAAGAAGCUACAGAUGUGUAUUAGCACAUACCAAAGGGAGGAGAUAAGUAACCCCACAGUAUCACAGUAUCACAGUAUGUUUGGGAUUGGAAGGGACCUCAAAAGAUCAUCUAGUCCAAUCCCCCUGCUGGAGCAGGAACGCCUAGGUGAGGUCGCACAGGAACAUGUCCAGGCGGGUUUUGAAUGUCUCCAGAGAAGGAGACUCCACAACCCCCCUGGGCAGCCUGUUCCAGUGCUCUGUCACCCUUACUGAGAAGAAGUUUUUUCUCAAAUUUAAGCAGAACCUCUUGUGUUCCAGCUUGAUCCCACUACCCCUUGUCCUAUCAUUUUUUGCCACCGAGAAGAGCCUGGCUCCAUCCUCAUGGCACUCACCCUUUAUAUAUUUAUAAACAUUAAUGAGGUCCCCCCUUAGUCUCCUCUUUUCCAAACUAAAGAGCCCCAGCUCCCUCAGCCUUUCUUCAUAAGGGAGAUGCUCCACUCCCUUAAUCAUCUUCGUUGCCCUACGGUGGACCCUCUCCAGCAGUUCCCUGUCCUUCUCGAACUGAGGGGCCUAGAACUGGACACAAUAUUCCAGAUGUGGUCUCACCAGGGUGGAGUAGAGGGGAAGGACCUCUCUCGACCUACUAACCACCCCCCUUCUAAUACACCCCAGGAUGCCAUUGGCCUUCUUGGCCACAAGGGCACAGUGCUGGCUCAUGGUCAUCCUGUUGUCCACCAGGAC
Long non-coding RNA from Columba livia (rock pigeon), 20267 nucleotides. RefSeq lists it as uncharacterized. The transcript is spliced from 14 exons. The record is from RefSeq and is a predicted model, not a curated record. NCBI's taxonomy places the organism in Eukaryota, Metazoa, Chordata, Aves, Columbiformes, Columbidae.